This 301-nucleotide ribosomal RNA is filed under the name uncultured bacterium. Its description in RNAcentral is "partial 16S ribosomal RNA". It matches the Rfam family "Bacterial small subunit ribosomal RNA", at positions 509 to 807 of the family's 1533-position model. The record is from RNAcentral.
CAGCAGCCACGGUAAUACGAAGGGUGCAAGCGUUAAUCGGAAUUACUGGGCGUAAAGCGUGCGUAGGCGGUUUGUUAAGUCUGUUGUGAAAUCCCCGGGCUCAACCUGGGAAUGGCAAUGGAUACUGGCAAGCUAGAGUGUGUCAGAGGAUGGUGGAAUUCCCGGUGUAGCGGUGAAAUGCGUAGAGAUCGGGAGGAACAUCAGUGGCGAAGGCGGCCAUCAGGGACAACACUGACGCUGAGGCACGAAAGCGUGGGGAGCAAACAGGAUUAGAUACCCCCGUAGUCCCUGUCUCUUAUAC